AUAAUCCGCGAGUAGAUGGUGUUUAUCCUUUUUUAUAGCAAUUUCAUUGGUUAGUGACAAAACUUAUUGGACAAAAUGUAUAUGUGUGCAUUUGACCAAUAAUAAAAGUUGUAAUAUAACAUAUGUACAUAUUAGAGGUAAUCUUAAUUCAUCGUGUAAAUAAUUGUAAUAUGACUUACAAAUGCUUCGAAAGUUUUGUUUAUCAAGACAACUUAUCUAAGUCCGCAUAAAUUGUUCAUAAAAAAUCGAUCCUUAUUUUUAAUAUGACACUUAUUUUUUAUUUGUUAUUAAAUUUGUUACAUUUUAUAAACAAUUUGUAUUGUUUCAUCAAACAAUAUUGCGUUAAAAUAUGUUUGCUUAUGAAGCAUCACGUUUAUGCAAAUAAAGGAUUUGAAAAUUACUGGUUGGAAAAUUCAAGUGAUAAUUUAGUCUCAAAACUUCCAAAUCAUAUUGCAAUUAUUAUUGGAUUGGAAGAAAUAUCCAUUAUUGACAUAACAAAAUUGAUCGACUGGUGUAUGACAAUUGAAAUAUCUUACAUCAGCUUCUAUGAUCACAAAGGUCUCUUGCAAAAAAAUUAUCCUCUUAUAGAAAAAAAUCUCAAACAGCAAACACCUUCAAAUUUACAUAAUACAGAAUGUGUAAAAGAAUUUAGUAAAAUGGACAAUGGUACAAAACUAAUCAAAAUGUUAGGCUACAAUUAUAAAUGCAAUAUUGAUUCUGAUUCAUUAAAUAAAGCCAAAAACAAAAGUAUUAAAAUACAAUUUUUGUCAUAUCUCGAUGGUAAAAAUAAAAUUGUUUCUUUAACCAAACAAUUAUCAACUUUUCUUGAAUGGAAUGAUAACAAUGAAAAAGAUAUAACAUCUAAAUUGAUUAGUGAAAAUUUGAAUUGGAAUGUUCAAAUCCCAGAGCCAGACCUGGCCAUAGUGUUUGGUAAAACACUGUGUUCAUAUGGAUUUUUACCAUGGCACACAAGGAUAACUGAGUUUUUUGUUGUGCCAACUCACUGUGGUCUCACAUAUGAUGACUUUACAAGGAUACUAAUAAAGUACAAUAUAUGUCAACAACAUUACGGAAAGUAACGAAACUGGUUAUCUAAUUUUAUAAGUUGCAAGAUAUAUUUAGAUUCAUAUAUGUAUAAAAAUAAAAUAAUACUUUUAUUCCACACUGUACUAUCUACUUGAUUUUGAUACUAGUAUGAUAUUUAUGUUAUACAAAUUAAAUUAAAAUGAUUGAAUAAGUAUGAAAUUACAAAUGUUCUAUGUAAAUUUUUGAAGGAAAUAGGUAAUACGAUUUCUUGUGAUUAUUUCAAUUGGAUAAUA
Phymastichus coffea is the source of this 1319-nucleotide RNA transcript. It is a transcript of the gene named dehydrodolichyl diphosphate synthase complex subunit nus1, with no coding region annotated. Lineage: Eukaryota; Metazoa; Arthropoda; Insecta; Hymenoptera; Eulophidae. The record is from RefSeq and is a predicted model, not a curated record. The transcript has 5 exons.